ACACAUGCAAGUCGAACGGCAGCACAGGAGAGCUUGCUCUCUGGGUGGCGAGUGGCGGACGGGUGAGGAAUACAUCGGAAUCUACUCUGUCGUGGGGGAUAACGUAGGGAAACUUACGCUAAUACCGCAUACGACCUACGGGUGAAAGCAGGGGAUCUUCGGACCUUGCGCGAUUGAAUGAGCCGAUGUCGGAUUAGCUAGUUGGCGGGGUAAAGGCCCACCAAGGCGACGAUCCGUAGCUGGUCUGAGGGGAUGAUCAGUCACACUGGAACUGAGACACGGUCCAGACUCCUACGGGAGGCAGCAGUGGGGAAUAUUGGACAAUGGGCGCAAGCCUGAUCCAGCCAUACCGCGUGGGUGAAGAAGGCCUUCGGGUUGUAAAGCCCUUUUGUUGGGAAAGAAAUCCAGCUGGCUAAUACCCGGUUGGGAUGACGGUACCCAAAGAAUAAGCACCGGCUAACUUCGUGCCAGCAGCCGCGGUAAUACGAAGGGUGCAAGCGUUACUCGGAAUUACUGGGCGUAAAGCGUGCGUAGGUGGUCGUUUAAGUCCGUUGUGAAAGCCCUGGGCUCAACCUGGGAACUGCAGUGGAUACUGGGCGACUAGAAUGUGGUAGAGGGUAGCGGAAUUCCUGGUGUAGCAGUGAAAUGCGUGGAGAUCAGGAGGAACAUCCAUGGCGAAGGCAGCUACCUGGACCAACAUUGACACUGAGGCACGAAAGCGUGGGGAGCAAACAGGAUUAGAUACCCUGGUAGUCCACGCCCUAAACGAUGCGAACUGGAUGUUGGGUGCAAUUUGGCACGCAGUAUCGAAG
This 812-nucleotide ribosomal RNA is filed under the name uncultured Stenotrophomonas bacterium. RNAcentral describes it as "bacterial SSU rRNA". It matches the Rfam family "Bacterial small subunit ribosomal RNA", at positions 51 to 851 of the family's 1533-position model. Lineage: Bacteria; Pseudomonadati; Pseudomonadota; Gammaproteobacteria; Lysobacterales; Lysobacteraceae. The record is from RNAcentral.